GAUAUGAUAGGAAUUAUUAAUCUGUCGCAACGAAAAAGAGCAUAAGAAUUUUAUUGGUGUUCACUCUAUAUUUGAUAUUUUUGCUUAAGCUUAAUACUUGCUGACUUAUCGUUACAUUGAAGUUAUUCAUUUGUUUCUUAAAUAAAUAUUUAUUUAUUACAUAAAAAUAAACCAUCGGUUAUCAAAGAAAAAAGAAUUUAAUAAAAUGGUGUGUGUACCAUGCGUUGCUAUUCCUAUAUUAUUAAUUAUAUGGAGAUUUUUAAUUCAACCGAUUAUUUUAAAAUGGUGGCAAUUAAAAAACAAAAUCAAAUGUACUAAUGAAAAAGAACCAACAUCAGAUUUAGUUAAAGAUUGUAAAAAUGGAGUAUGUACA
RNAcentral lists this long non-coding RNA (373 nucleotides) under Polistes fuscatus (common paper wasp). RNAcentral's name for it is "uncharacterized LOC122519891". The record is from RNAcentral. Lineage: Eukaryota; Metazoa; Arthropoda; Insecta; Hymenoptera; Vespidae.